Phrynosoma platyrhinos (Desert horned lizard) is the source of this 73-nucleotide non-coding RNA. The record is from the annotation of a GenBank genome assembly. NCBI's taxonomy places the organism in Eukaryota, Metazoa, Chordata, Lepidosauria, Squamata, Phrynosomatidae.
GUCAGAGUGGGACAGUGGUUUGAGUGUUGGACUAGGACUCCAGGUGACUAGCGUUCAAAUCCACACUUAGACA